UGACUUUCGAUUUUGGCAGGCUGCAUUAACGUCAAGUGCGCCAAGGAGAUAUACAAAUGUACAAAUGAUCAUGGGACAGAUUUAACAGUCAAACUCAAAGGUUGCAUUGCAAGUAGCUGUAAAGAGGCUAUGAGCUCAUGCAUGGAAUGGAUUUUUCAAGCUGUUUCGAGUGUACAAGCAACUUUAG
This is a long non-coding RNA of Xyrauchen texanus (razorback sucker), 187 nucleotides long. RefSeq lists it as uncharacterized. The record is from RefSeq and is a predicted model, not a curated record. The transcript has 3 exons. Lineage: Eukaryota; Metazoa; Chordata; Actinopteri; Cypriniformes; Catostomidae.